Molecule: long non-coding RNA, 2319 nt
Filed under: Callithrix jacchus (white-tufted-ear marmoset)
Lineage: Eukaryota; Metazoa; Chordata; Mammalia; Primates; Cebidae
Description: lncRNA (ENSCJAG00000072563.1)
Source: RNAcentral
AUGGAGGAAACGAGUGCUCUUUCGUGCUGUUCCUGUGUAAGUUCCGCUGUGCCCCGGAAGUGUGAAGACGUGGUCUCCGCGUCAGGCCGUCCGAGGAGAAGCCCCGCAGCGGGAGGCCCUGCCCACUCUCCCCCGGGCUCUGCCGCCGCAGCAGGGUCGCCGCGCGUGUCUGCACAGCCACGGCCUCUCUCAGGGUCGCCCCGCGUGUCUGCACAGUCACGGCCUCUCUCAGGGUCGCCCCGCGUGUCUGCACAGCCACGGCCUCUCUCAGGGUCGCCGCGCGUGUCUGCACAGUCACGGCCUCUCUCAGGGUCGCCCCGCGUGUCUGCACAGUCACGGCCUCUCAGGGUCGCCCCGCGUGUCUGCACAGUCACGGCCCCAGCAGGGUCGCCGCGCGUGUCUGCACAGUCACGGCCCCAGCAGGGUCGCCCCGCGUGUCUGCACAGUCACGGCCCCAGCAGGGUCGCCCCGCGUGUCUGCACAGUCACGGCCUCUCUCAGGGUCGCCCCGCGUGUCUGCACAGUCACGGCCCCAGCAGGGUCGCCCCGCGUGUCUGCACAGUCACGGUCUCUCAGGGUCGCCCCGCGUGUCUGCACAGUCACGGUCUCUCAGGGUCGCCCCGCGUGUCCGCACAGCCACGGCCUCUCAGGGUCGCCCCGCGUGUCUGCACAGUCACGGCCUCUCAGGGUCGCCCCGCGUGUCUGCACAGUCACGGCCUCUCAGGGUCGCCCCGCGUGUCUGCACAGUCACGGCCUCUCAGGGUCGCCCCGCGUGUCUGCACAGUCACGGCCGCAGCAGGGUCGCCCCGCGUGUCUGCACAGUCACGGCCUCUCAGGGUCGCCCCGCGUGUCUGCACAGUCACGGCCGCAGCAGGGUCGCCCCGCGUGUCUGCACAGUCACGGCCUCUCUCAGGGUCGCCCCGCGUGUCUGCACAGUCACGGCCCCAGCAGGGUCGCCCCGCGUGUCUGCACAGUCACGGCCGCAGCAGGGUCGCCCCGCGUGUCUGCACAGUCACGGCCGCAGCAGGGUCGCCCCGCGUGUCUGCACAGUCACGGCCUCUCAGGGUCGCCCCGCGUGUCUGCACAGCCACGGCCUCUCAGGGUCGCCCCGCGUGUCUGCACAGUCACGGCCCCAGCAGGGUCGCCCCGCGUGUCUGCACAGCCACGGCCUCUCUCAGGGUCGCCCCGCGUGUCUGCACAGUCACGGCCUCUCUCAGGGUCGCCCCGCGUGUCUGCACAGUCACGGCCGCAGCAGGGUCGCCCCGCGUGUCUGCACAGUCACGGCCUCUCAGGGUCGCCCCGCGUGUCUGCACAGCCACGGCCUCUCAGGGUCGCCCCGCGUGUCUGCACAGUCACGGCCCCAGCAGGGUCGCCCCGCGUGUCUGCACAGCCACGGCCUCUCUCAGGGUCGCCCCGCGUGUCUGCACAGUCACGGCCUCUCUCAGGGUCGCCCCGCGUGUCUGCACAGUCACGGCCCCAGCAGGGUCGCCCCGCGUGUCUGCACAGCCACGGCCUCUCUCAGGGUCGCCCCGCGUGUCUGCACAGUCACGGCCUCUCUCAGGGUCGCCCCGCGUGUCUGCACAGUCACGGCCCCAGCAGGGUCGCCCCGCGUGUCUGCACAGUCACGGCCUCUCUCAGGGUCGCCCCGCGUGUCUGCACAGUCACGGCCCCAGCAGGGUCGCCCCGCGUGUCUGCACAGUCACGGUCUCUCAGGGUCGCCCCGCGUGUCUGCACAGUCACGGCCUCUCUCAGGGUCGCCCCGCGUGUCUGCACAGUCACGGUCUCUCAGGGUCGCCCCGCGUGUCCGCACAGCCACGGCCUCUCAGGGUCGCCCCGCGUGUCUGCACAGUCACGGCCUCUCAGGGUCGCCCCGCGUGUCUGCACAGUCACGGCCUCUCAGGGUCGCCCCGCGUGUGGGCACAGUCACGGCCUCUCAGGGUCGCCCCGCGUGUCUGCACAGUCACGGCCGCAGCAGGGUCGCCCCGCGUGUCUGCACAGUCACGGCCUCUCAGGGUCGCCCCGCGUGUCUGCACAGUCACGGCCGCAGCAGGGUCGCCCCGCGUGUCUGCACAGUCACGGCCGCAGCAGGGUCGCCCCGCGUGUCUGCACAGUCACGGCCUCUCUCAGGGUCGCCCCGCGUGUCUGCACAGUCACGGCCUCUCAGGGUCGCCCCGCGUGUCUGCACAGUCACGGCCGCAGCAGGGUCGCCCCGCGUGUCUGCACAGUCACGGCCUCUCAGGGUCGCCCCGCGUGUCUGCACAGUCGCGGCCUCGCAUCGUGCACGUGGCUCUCCGGAGAAGCCGAGCAGUUCAGAAGUUGA